CUGCGGGGUCAUGCGAUUGUGGGCGUGGAAGGAGGAGACGAGGCGCAGGUGGUCCAGGAGAAGCGUCAGCGUGGCCUGAGAGAAGAAGGUCAGUAGUCAGGAUGACCAGACUUCACGCAUGGCCACCCAGGACUCCGAAGGUGAACAGGACAGAUGCUGCAUUACCUUUCCUGAUCCAGCCUUGGGUGUCGUGUUGUGUCACUUCUGGAGCCAGAUUCAUAGACCCCACUCCUCUCAGUGGGCGAUGUGUCAAGUGCCCAGGGUGGACUUAAAAAGCUGAAGUCAGAUUCCAGCACGCCCCACCCCUGCUGUACAGUCUUCCCAUGACUGCUCAUCCUGCCUAGAAUAAAACCCAGAUUCCCA
Molecule: long non-coding RNA, 363 nt
Organism: Panthera uncia (snow leopard)
Lineage: Eukaryota; Metazoa; Chordata; Mammalia; Carnivora; Felidae
Exons: 3
Source: RefSeq, a predicted model, not a curated record